Molecule: long non-coding RNA, 771 nt
Organism: Gallus gallus (chicken)
Lineage: Eukaryota; Metazoa; Chordata; Aves; Galliformes; Phasianidae
Exons: 2
Source: RefSeq, a predicted model, not a curated record
GGGAGCGAGUUUGGAAAGGGAGCGCUUUAUUGAAGAUCAUCCCUUCAGAGAACCACGGGUCACAAGCACUAAAGUGCUGCAACAAUCCUCAGAAGAUUCCACUACUGAGAUGAAUUCACAUCCCCUGCACCACUCACCACAGGUGAGCUUCUCAUCCAUUCCAGAGGGCCCCUUCCCUUCCUUCAGCCCCUUAAUCUCUCCCCAGCAAAGGUGCUAGCUGCAUUUCAAUCACCUGGCCCCAGCUGCUGGGGGUUCUAUAUCAGGUGUCACCUAAACCCGGAACCCCUCACCCCCGGUCGUCUACUUCAAACUCUGACACACAGCUAACGGAGGAGGAGGGGGGGGACUGGACGUUUCGCUCUUUUUCUCCUCCUCUAUCUCCUUUCCUUUAGCGCAGCUAGGUUCCAACGGCUGUUGUCGCCGCACCGCCAGCCCGCGCAGCCCCGCCGCCAGGGCUGCCCCCCCACCCCGCCUUUCACGCUCGCCGUGCCCUGUGAUUCCAGGGGCCUCCCCGCUCCCGCUCCCCGUCCAGCUCCUCGCCUGUUGGCGGGGCAGUGCCCCUACAGCCCCCCUCGGCCUGUACCUUCUCCGCAGCUUCCGCCAUGGCGCGGCCAGCUAGCCGUCAUGUGAGGGCAGGAAGGCGGAGGGCGGAGGCACCUGGGUUUCACUAGCCAGAGAAUCCUGGUUCUCAAAGUGACUGGUGCAGAUUGGCUUGAGUCCAUUGCUUUUUCAUGAGAUUUCGUGAAUUUUAAGUACCUAUUUAAGUUCCAA